This 515-nucleotide ribosomal RNA is filed under the name Bacillus amyloliquefaciens. RNAcentral's name for it is "bacterial SSU rRNA". It matches the Rfam family "Bacterial small subunit ribosomal RNA", at positions 392 to 896 of the family's 1533-position model. The record is from RNAcentral. Lineage: Bacteria; Bacillati; Bacillota; Bacilli; Caryophanales; Bacillaceae.
CAACGCCGCGUGAGUGAUGAAGGUUUUCGGAUCGUAAAGCUCUGUUGUUAGGGAAGAACAAGUGCCGUUCAAAUAGGGCGGCACCUUGACGGUACCUAACCAGAAAGCCACGGCUAACUACGUGCCAGCAGCCGCGGUAAUACGUAGGUGGCAAGCGUUGUCCGGAAUUAUUGGGCGUAAAGGGCUCGCAGGCGGUUUCUUAAGUCUGAUGUGAAAGCCCCCGGCUCAACCGGGGAGGGUCAUUGGAAACUGGGGAACUUGAGUGCAGAAGAGGAGAGUGGAAUUCCACGUGUAGCGGUGAAAUGCGUAGAGAUGUGGAGGAACACCAGUGGCGAAGGCGACUCUCUGGUCUGUAACUGACGCUGAGGAGCGAAAGCGUGGGGAGCGAACAGGAUUAGAUACCCUGGUAGUCCACGCCGUAAACGAUGAGUGCUAAGUGUUAGGGGGUUUCCGCCCCUUAGUGCUGCAGCUAACGCAUUAAGCACUCCGCCUGGGGGAGUACGGUCGCAAGACUG